CCUACGGGAGGCUGCAGUGGGGAAUAUUGGACAAUGGGCGAAAGCCUGAUCCAGCCAUGCCGCGUGUGUGAAGAAGGCCUUCGGGUUGUAAAGCACUUUCAGUGGGGAAGAAAGCCUUGGGGCUAAUACCCUCGAGGAAGGACAUCACCCACAGAAGAAGCACCGGCUAACUCCGUGCCAGUAGCCGCGGUAAUACGGAGGGUGCGAGCGUUAAUCGGAAUUACUGGGCGUAAAGCGCGCGUAGGCGGUCUGAUAAGCCGGUUGUGAAAGCCCCGGGCUCAACCUGGGAACGGCAUCCGGAACUGUCAGGCUAGAGUGCAGGAGAGGAAGGUAGAAUUCCCGGUGUAGCAGUGAAAUGCGUAGAGAUCGGGAGGAAUACCAGUGGCGAAGGCGGCCUUCUGGACUGACACUGACGCUGAGGUGCGAAAGCGUGGGUAGCAAACAGGAUUAGAUACCCGUGUAGUC
Molecule: ribosomal RNA, 465 nt
Filed under: Vreelandella stevensii
Lineage: Bacteria; Pseudomonadati; Pseudomonadota; Gammaproteobacteria; Oceanospirillales; Halomonadaceae
Description: partial 16S ribosomal RNA
Rfam family: Bacterial small subunit ribosomal RNA
Source: RNAcentral